AACGAACGCUGGCGGCAUGCCUAACACAUGCAAGUCGAACGAGGACUUCGGGUCUAGUGGCGCACGGGUGCGUAACGCGUGGGAACCUGCCCUUAGGUUCGGAAUACCUCCCCGAAAGGGGUGCUAAUACAGGAUAAUGUCAUCGGACCAAAGAUUUAUCGCCUGUGGAUGGGCCCGCGUUGGAUUAGCUAGUUGGUAGGGUAAAAGCCUACUAAGGCGACGAUCCAUAGCUGGUCUGUGAGGAUGAUCAGCCACACUGGGAUUGAGACACGGCCCAGACUCCUACGGGAGGCAGCAGUGGGGAAUAUUGGACAAGGGGCGAAAGCCUGAUCCAGCAAGGCCGCGUUAGUGAUGAAGGCCUUAGGGUUGUAAAGCGCUUUUACCCGGGAUGAUAAUGACAGAACCGGGAGAAUAAGCUCCGGCUAACUCCGU
RNAcentral lists this ribosomal RNA (432 nucleotides) under uncultured bacterium. RNAcentral's name for it is "partial 16S ribosomal RNA". It matches the Rfam family "Bacterial small subunit ribosomal RNA", at positions 29 to 506 of the family's 1533-position model. The record is from RNAcentral.